UGUGUAUAAGUUAUAAAGUCUAGCCUGCCCACUGAUUGAUUUAAAGGGCCGCGGUAAUUUGACCGUGCGAAGGUAGCAUAGUCAGUAGUCUUUUAAUUGAAGGCUUGAAUGAAAGGUUGGACGAGGGAUGAGCUGUCUCCUUUACGUAAUUUGAAUUUAACUUUUGAGUGAAAAGGCUCAAAUUAUUUAGUGGGACGAUAAGACCCUAUAAAACUUUAUAUAAGUUUAAUUUGGCUUACAAUUUGAGUGAAAAGUAGCUUUAUUAGGUUUAUAUUUCGUUGGGGAGAUGUAGAUAUAAUGUGUAACUGUCUGUUUAAUUUAAUAAUUAUAAUUAGUGUGUGAUCCUUCUUUGUGGAUUAAAAGUAUAAGUUACUUUAGGGAUAACAGCGUGAUUUUCUUUGAGAGUUCUUAUCGACAAGAGUAGUUGCGACCUCGAUGUUGAAUUAAAAUUUCAGUUAGGUGUAGCCGUCUAGCUGGUAGGUCUGUUCGACCUUUAAAAUUUUACAUGAUUUGAGUUCAAACCGGU
Molecule: ribosomal RNA, 526 nt
Filed under: Macrobrachium inflatum
Lineage: Eukaryota; Metazoa; Arthropoda; Malacostraca; Decapoda; Palaemonidae
Description: partial 16S ribosomal RNA
Rfam family: Bacterial large subunit ribosomal RNA
Source: RNAcentral